UUCAAAUAAAUUUAUAUAUUGAUUUUGUAAAUC
This 33-nucleotide transfer RNA is filed under the name Oroperipatus sp. DVL-2011. Its description in RNAcentral is "tRNA-Thr". Lineage: Eukaryota; Metazoa; Onychophora; Udeonychophora; Euonychophora; Peripatidae. The record is from RNAcentral.